RNAcentral lists this long non-coding RNA (201 nucleotides) under Gallus gallus (chicken). Lineage: Eukaryota; Metazoa; Chordata; Aves; Galliformes; Phasianidae. The record is from RNAcentral.
AAUGCUCCAAGGUGUUCAGCUCUCUGGACCACACGGUUGCUGUUCACACCCUUUGGGAGCUACUGAUCUGCCUGCCUCCGACUGGACUUUUCUUUUCUGUGCCAAUGACUUCACACUUUUCUCGAGUACCAGAACACACACCCACCUGUGACAAGCAUGAUCAGGAGACUGAGAUCACUGUGAAUUUACACCAAAUGCAAC